GCCAGGAACUGGAGACUGAGUGGAAGCCCAUCAGAAAAUGACUGAAUAGGAUACAGUAUAUGAACGUAAUGGAUAUUUAUUGUUCUAUAAGAAAUUAUGAGCAAGCUGAUUUUAGAAAAACCUGGAAAGACUUAACACGAACCGAUGCUGAGAGAAGCGAGCAGAACCAGGAAAACACUGGACACAGUAACAGCAACGUUGCAUGAUGAUCGCCUUCAAACAUGACUCUUCUCAACAAUGCCGUGAUCCAAGUCAAUUCCAACAGACUUGGGAUGGAAAAUGCCAUCCACAUCCAGAGAGAGAACGAUGGAUGCAGACUGGAUGCAGAAAGAUUAUUACUUUCACCUUUGUUCUUUCUUGGGACUUUUCCCUUUUGUUCUGAUUUUUCUCACAAAAUGAAUAAUAUAAAAAUGUUGAAAGUGAUUUUACAUGUGUAACCGCUAUCAGGUUACUUGCUAUUUUGGGGAGGGAAGAGGUAAAAAAAAAAAAAAAAAAAAAUUGGAACUCAAAAAUCUUACAAAAAUGAAUGUUGAAAACUAUCUUUACAUGUAAUUGGAAAAAUACCACUGAAUUUUUUUUUUUUUUUUUUAAAGUGGCUGUUGUGGGGGAGAGGGUGUCAGACAUUUACUCUAGUAAAAUCAUGGAAAGAAUCUUUCAGGGGCAGGAAGACCAGGCAGAAAGAAAAGGGCCAAUGAGUGGGAAGAAGGGGACAUGGAUGAAAUGCUGAGGGUGUAAAUGUCCAGACUAGCAACUACUUCCUUCCAAAAAUAUGAAGUCUCUUAAUGGCUCAGUGGAAUGACCUUCUCUUGACCUCUCCACAGCCUCAGACACCAUCCCUUCUCUUAGAUCCCCUCAUUAAUCUGGUCUCUCGGGGCCUCCUCCCUCCUUGCUCUGAGAUCCUUUUCUGCAUCCUUGUCAUGUGCGUUUACUGCAGGGAUCCCCAAGGCUGUCUUGCUCUCCUUUCAUUCUAGGCUAUCUCAGUCAGAGAUCUCUUCAGCCUAUGGCUUUGAUGCUCAUCUGCCUUUCAGAGGAUCCCCAGAGACAUCACUACCUUUUAGACAUGGCAAAGUGGAUAUCCCACAGGCACCUGGAACUCGCCGUGUCCAAAACCGAGCCCUCUCCCCCCUCCUCCCCGCUCCCCUUCUCUCUUGCAAAUUGUCAAAGGCACCCAGGGAUAUCCUUGCUACCAACUCUAUUCACCCCGUCUAAUUUUUUGUCAUUGUCAACUCUUUUCACUAUUUCCCUCUCUCCGGUGUUCCCUCGCCACCAUCCUGAAGCAAGCUUUAUCACACCCUCACACAGGGAUGACUACGUUAGGGGCCCUGCCGCCCAACCCCUGCUUGCCUCAAGUCUCUCCCCACUCCAGUUCGUCCUCUCACGGCAAACUGCUCUGGCCUUCCUUCAGCUCCACUCCUCAGCCUCCGCCUUCCACCAGAGCUUUCCUUUGCAUGCAGCCACAUACCUCGGUGUCAUUCCCACAGAUUUCUUCCAGACUCCUCUACGUGUCUUAUUUACAUCCAGCUGUUUGCACAGCCUCCCUCCAUAAGCAUCUCAGCCCCUUAGAGGGCAGGUUUUUCCUCUCUUAUAUCUCCAGCACUAAAGCACGGUACCUGGCAAACACUGGUGGACUGAGUGCUCUGGACAGUAAGAGACUUUGGAGAUGUGGAUUCUGGGGAGAAGAUAAGAGGCUGGACAAGCCGAGAUCCAGAUAUCCACGGGAUAGCUGGAUGAUAGGAGUAUAGAUUCAGAGCUGGAAGGGACCUCAGAGGACUUGCAUUUGACAGAUAAGGGAACUGAGGCCCCAAGAAGUGACAGACUCGGCGGGUUGGAGGGAAGCUCUGACUGCUGCUACUCCACAGUGCUAGUCACAAGUCUAGGAAGCAUCUGCAUCACCAUCGAACACCUGGGAGCUGAUGAGAUCACUUGGGGAGACUGGAAGCCCGAGAUGGGGUCCCAGGGCAGAGCCUGGGGGACACCUACACUUAGCAGGCUUGAGGGCAAUCAACCCAGAAAGGAGGAGGAGCACACACCCAAGUAGUUUUGGGAAAAGCUGAGGGGAGAGUGUUCAGAUGCUGAUCGUUAGUGCCAAAGGCUGCAGAGAGCUCAGGAAACAUGAAGCCUGAGAAAAGUCCAUUAGAUUCAGCAAUUAAGAGAUAGGGUGCCACGGAAGAGAGGAGGGUCAGAGGUCAGACUGCAGACAGAUGUGCAGGCCCUGAGCACAAGGAGCUCUCUCAAGGCUUCUGACUGGGGAGAGGCCAAAAGGGCCGCAGCCUGAGGCGGAGUUGGGGGGGGGGGGAGGAGGAGGGGGAGGGCAAGCUCCAGGAGGCUCUUUAAGGCAGGGGGCCACCCCGCGUAUCAAAAGCCAUCGGGGAAGGAAACUGAUCCAAGAGGUUCAAGAUUGGAGUGGUGCUGGUGGGGAGGAGGGGCAGCUUCCUGGACACCCCAAAAAGGAAGCGAUCUGGAAUGCAAACAGCUGGUGGCCUGGCAAGGAGGAAGGCCGUGGCUCUGUGAGCCAAAGGAAGAGCGGGUGGAGUGCAGAUAAGAAAGGUGGGGGUGGGGUCUCGGGGACGAGGGCAGGGGCGAAGGAGGACUGAGAAGGGAGGGUGUAGAACUCGGCCAAUGAACGGAUUUAGGUGGGGGGAGGGGAUGGCUGCCUUGCUGCAGAUUAGACAAUAAAUUUGUAGCCGCCCAGAGCUGCAGUUUGACAACUUGCUUUAGCUCCCCAGAGGCAGAUGAGGGGGCUGGCUGACAGUCCCAGGCUGGAGAUCGGCAUCCUUGGAAGGAACUAGAAGGGCAGCAAGGGACUGCAGCGUAGAUAAGCCGUUCAUGAGGGACAGGAGGGA
This 2843-nucleotide long non-coding RNA is filed under the name Sarcophilus harrisii (Tasmanian devil). RNAcentral describes it as "lncRNA (ENSSHAG00000028338.1)". Lineage: Eukaryota; Metazoa; Chordata; Mammalia; Dasyuromorphia; Dasyuridae. The record is from RNAcentral.